GAGAAUCCACAAGUGUUAACGUAACGGGUGUGUCCUUCCAACACUUGUAAGCAAACCGCAUUGUUUGACUCGACCAUCUUAAAACAAUAAUAACACGUUCAACGACAUUAUAAAAGGAAAAGAAACACUACAAGUUGUACUCACUAGUACUGGAUACCACUGGAUAGUAUUAACAACUAACUUGAUUUAUUUUUACUUAUUUCAUUAUAUUUUACAAAAUUUUGAAGGCUGCAUAUUAUAUAUAAUAUUAUAAUUUAUAUGUAGAUACUUAUAUAUCGAUUUAUUAUUUCCUAUGGAUAAUUUACCGUAAAUUAAUUGAGGAGUAGAAGGGGUGCAACUUCCUCCCUAAACUAUAUUUCAAAACGCAAUACGUUAAAAAUAUAUAUUUUUUAUACUUUGCCCCCCCCCAAAAAAAAAAAAAACUAAGAUACACCACGCAGCAUCUAAUACAAUG
Molecule: long non-coding RNA, 454 nt
Organism: Acyrthosiphon pisum (pea aphid)
Lineage: Eukaryota; Metazoa; Arthropoda; Insecta; Hemiptera; Aphididae
Exons: 2
Source: RefSeq, a predicted model, not a curated record